This 1935-nucleotide long non-coding RNA is filed under the name Pelobates cultripes (western spadefoot toad). The record is from RNAcentral. Lineage: Eukaryota; Metazoa; Chordata; Amphibia; Anura; Pelobatidae.
AUAUCUGUUUUACCUAAGCGCAGCCCUUGACCCCCUCUUUUUUCGCAUUUCCUACAUAAGGGUUCCCUGAGGGAUCUCCCUUUUUGGGUUGCUGCUCAAUUGAACUAGCGCAGACUCUUCCUCUGUUUUGUUUCACCUCUUAUUGUAUUCAAGCCUGAAGCUGUAGAUCUGCAUACUGUUUGUCUCAGGAAAAAAAACAAGCUGCCUGCUGACAUCAUCAGAAGUGGUAACCUGAUCCAAUCACAAUGCUUCCCCAUAGGAUUGGCUGAGACUGACAAAGAGGCAGAUUAGGGGCAGAGCCAGCACAAUUCAAACACAGCCCUGGCCAAUCAGUAUCUCCUCAUAGAGAUGAAUUGAAUCAAUGUAUCUCUAUGAGGAAAGUUCAGUGUCUGCAUGCAGAGGGAGGAGAUACUGAAUGUUUGGAUGCAUUUUAGGCAGCCAUGACCCAGGAAGGAUCUCUAGCAGCCAUCGGAGAAGUGGCCAGUGAAGUUAUCACUAGGCUGUAAUGUAAACACUGCAUUUUCUCUGAAUUAGAUUAGGGAGGCUGUGUAUUAGUUUAAGGUAGGGUGUGUAUUAGAUUGGGGAGCGUUGUAUAAGUUGGGGGGGCAGUGUAUUAGAUGGGAGGACAGUGCAUCAGUGGGGGGAUAGAGCAGUGUAUUGAAUUUGGGGGCAGUGUAUUAGAGUGGGUCUGCAUGGAGAUGCUGAUUGGCCACGCAGCGUUUUGACACACAUGCACAAUAGCUCAAUGCUUUCCUAUGGAAGAACACACUCUUAGAACGUCAACAUCAACAAGAUAACGUCAUUUGUUUUUUUACAGCUGUGCAACAGCAUACAUUCCCCAUUUCAGUCCCAUUACUAAGCUUUUCUUAAUAUAUCAAGGUAGUUGGACUGAAACAUUGGUUAUAUGCAAAUGCCUAAAUGUCUCCUAAAAAUAAAUUUACUCUUUUGUUCACUUUGAAGCCCUACGAGCGUGAGGACGUCCAGUGUCAGUUAGGCACUUUAUUUAUACGGUACUUUUCUAAAUAAACCAACGCUUCUAUGAACACUGAAGUUUUCAUUUUUUGCGGCCCACAUAAACUUAAGCCUUGUUUCUUUGGCCCGCGUUAGGCUUUGAGUUUGACGUGCUUGCAGUAGGCAGUUAUAUGCAGCACACUGCGAGUUAUUUAAAGGAGUACAGAUAACAGAUACAAUGUAACACUGUGUGGGUCCAGCGAUUACAUCAAAUUACUAUCCAAUAGAUCGCUAUAGUAAAGAAAUCCUUAAAGCUAUGUAGUGAAUGUAGACUAGCAGAUUGUUACAAAGCCUAUCAUGGCUGUGUCAGCGCUGAAGUGCCUUGAAGGUAAAAUCCUAAACCAGAAUACAAUCCGCGUCAUGAAAGAAAAAGGGGGCAAGUCACCGAAGUACUGGCUCGAAGGUAAAUCUAAACGUGAAUUAUUUUAAAAAGCUGCAGAUAACAAAAAGACUAGAUGGCUAGAAAGCCCCUAUGUCAGGUAAAAUACCUAGGCAACCAUGAAGCUAGUCUGUGCCUUGGAGGGCACCUGAACUGUCAUAACAAAAGGAGUCCAGCUAGCGAUCUAACAAAAUCUGAUUGUACCAAAAACAACUUGUAAAAUAAUUCACAAACCUGCAUCCACUGAAAGACAUAUCAGAUCACGAUCUGGGUCAGUAUAGUCUGAACAAGUUGAGAUCAGUUUAGAGCCUCGACAAAUAUUUCCGUCAUGUGUCCUUAACGUGUUAAGGAACUGAGGACGUUAGACUUACUAAGAAGAGACUACCUCCUUAUUAUCGCCAUCUAGUGGCAAAACAAAAAUAUUACAAAGUUUCUUGUGGACGUGAAAUAUUCUGAAAUAAGUAUAAUGGGAGUAAAACAGUCUUGUGAUUCCCAGAAAUAACCCAACACCACUCCCUGGGUAAUACAAUAUCUGUAGAGAGAAA